Long non-coding RNA from Panthera uncia (snow leopard), 2113 nucleotides. RefSeq lists it as uncharacterized. The transcript has 2 exons. NCBI's taxonomy places the organism in Eukaryota, Metazoa, Chordata, Mammalia, Carnivora, Felidae. The record is from RefSeq and is a predicted model, not a curated record.
AACUUUCACUAACUAUUCCCCUUGUGGCUGACAUUUCUUGAUUUUUCUCUUAUCAGUUCCUUCUCAGCCAACCACUUGAAGUGCCUAUGGUCCAGGACAUCAGAAGCCAAAAAGAAAAAAUUGCAAAAGAGCUUCUCUCCUAGGGGCGCCUGGGUGGCUCAGUCAGUUAAGCGUCUGACUUUGGCUCAGGUCAUAAGGUCACAGCCAGUGAGUUCCAGUCCCGCAUCGGGCUCUAUGCUGACAGCUCCGAGCCUGGAGCCUGCUUCAGACUCUGUGUCUCCCUCUCUCUCUGCUCCUCCCCGACUCACGCUCUCUCUCUGUCUCUCAAAGAUGAAUAAAUGUGAAAAAAAAAAUUAAAAAAAAAAAAAGAGCUUCUCUCCUGGUAACAUGAUCUCUUUUCCCAGAUUUGGAAGACAGAAGCAAAGGAGAGUCACAAAAGCCAGUUUUGUCACCCUGAGUCCUGCUAACUAGCUGACAGCCUCUGGCACACGCUGAUCUGGGGAUGCAGAGGAGGCCACAGGAGUGCCCAGGAGCCUGAAGAUGGAACAGAGAAAAUGGAGAAACCAGAGUAUGCGGGGUAGAGCUUGAUCAAUAGUUAAGGUUGGUUUGAUUUUCACUUUUACAGUUAUCUGUUUUCAAAUGCUCUGAAAAUACGUUCUAGGAACAUUUAUAGCCAUUGUGGCUUCUUGACACUGUGGUGUUCAGAAUAAUCCCAAGUGCCUCUGCCAGCUGAGAGACACACACACAACUAUGGGACAAAACAGAGUAGUAAUUUGAGCAAAAAGCCCAAACCAGGAGCUCUGAAAUGGCAACCUACCAUUUGUUUAGAAUUUAUAAGCUGCAAGCUAAGUUAGUCUUGAGUCCCACCUUAACUUCAUACCUCUCACCACCUGUGCAUAAUCUUGUUCUACAGAUCCUGUUUUCUCAACUAUCAAUCUACCCCUCAUAAAAUCGGCAUCAGUUAACACAAAACCCAGGGUGUGGCUUUCAGACCCAAAGUCCCUACUCUGAUCUGUGAGUAUCCACAUGAUUCGGCCCCUGCCUACUUCUAAUGACUUCAUCCCUUACCACAUCCCUGUGACUUGCUACACUUGACCCAUACGAACAGGCGCACUUCAAUCUUAGGAAGCUCACACCAGCAGUCUCUUGGUUUGGAACAUUCCUGCCCUCCUCCUUCCUGCCCCUGCUAUUUUCUCAUAGCUGCUUCUUCCCUACCAUUGAGAUUUCAACUUAAAUGUCAUCUAUGCAUUGAGGACUCUGAGCAGAAAGUAAAGUAGGCUCUCAGUCACUUUAUUAUGUCAUCUUGUUUUACUUUCCUCACAGUAGUUAUUAUUGUGUUCAUUGAUCUGUUGCCUGCCUCCUCAAUUAGAAUGCAACCUCCAUGAGGGUAUAGAUCCUGACUGUCUUGUCAAUUUGGUAUUCCCAAUGCCUACAGUGAUGCUGGCACAUAAAAAGAUGAUUUAAACAAGUUUGAGCUGAGGCUUCCUGGCCAUGACCUUGUCAUUGCCAUGAGUUAAAGAGGACAGUAGGGUACAUGUACCAGCCAGUUCCACUGGAGACAGAGUUCAACAUAAUGACCUAUACUGGAAAAACCAGCCCUCAUGCAACUCACUGGAUCCCCUGCUGCUAGGGGCACUUUAUAGAUCAGAAUCUGUUACCUGCAUGUGAGAAAGUACUGCAUUUUUUAGCAGGUACAAUCUAGAACCACUAUAUAUUUGAAGGUCUUCCCCCUGAUCUCCAGGCAAACUCCAAAAUAUUUCUCUAAUUUGAAAAAGAGGCCAUGAAGGACAGCUGGAGUUGUGAGAUUAAAGUGCUUAUUAAAUGCAUUUUAAAAAACUCCCAUGGGAAAAACUACUGAUAGAUACUUUUUCAUUACCUAUGACCCUCUUCCUUGCUAGAAGUGCAUAUAAGACAUGCUGUCUACUAGGCAAUACACUAAAGACAUACACUUGCUGAGCCAAGGUAGGAAAUUAUGCAUUAAACUACUGAUAUGAUUAGGUAGUGACUUGACCAAAUAUUUCUACUAUCUCUGUUGACUACAGAAUAAUACUCAAAAGUGUUAGUUUUAGGAAAUACAAUUCCUUAGUUAAUUGGGAAUAUGAACUCUUGGCAA